RNAcentral lists this ribosomal RNA (385 nucleotides) under Salmonella enterica subsp. enterica serovar Weltevreden. RNAcentral's name for it is "partial 23S ribosomal RNA". It matches the Rfam family "Bacterial large subunit ribosomal RNA", at positions 869 to 1251 of the family's 2925-position model. Lineage: Bacteria; Pseudomonadati; Pseudomonadota; Gammaproteobacteria; Enterobacterales; Enterobacteriaceae. The record is from RNAcentral.
UUUAGGUAGCGCCUCGUGAAUUCAUCUCCGGGGGUAGAGCACUGUUUCGGCUAGGGGGCCAUCCCGGCUUACCAACCCGAUGCAAACUGCGAAUACCGGAGAAUGUUAUCACGGGAGACACACGGCGGGUGCUAACGUCCGUCGUGAAGAGGGAAACAACCCAGACCGCCAGCUAAGGUCCCAAAGUCAUGGUUAAGUGGGAAACGAUGUGGGAAGGCCCAGACAGCCAGGAUGUUGGCUUAGAAGCAGCCAUCAUUUAAAGAAAGCGUAAUAGCUCACUGGUCGAGUCGGCCUGCGCGGAAGAUGUAACGGGGCUAAACCAUGCACCGAAGCUGCGGCAGCGACGCUUAUGCGUUGUUGGGUAGGGGAGCGUUCUGUAAGCCUG